ACGGGUGAGUAAUGUAUCGGAACGUGCCCAGUCGUGGGGGAUAACGCAGCGAAAGCUGUGCUAAUACCGCAUACGAUCUAUGGAUGAAAGCGGGGGAUCGCAAGACCUCGCGCGAUUGGAGCGGCCGAUAUCAGAUUAGGUAGUUGGUGGGGUAAAAGCCUACCAAGCCGACGAUCUGUAGCUGGUCUGAGAGGACGACCAGCCACACUGGGACUGAGACACGGCCCAGACUCCUACGGGAGGCAGCAGUGGGGAAUUUUGGACAAUGGGCGCAAGCCUGAUCCAGCAAUGCCGCGUGCAGGACGAAGGCCUUCGGGUUGUAAACUGCUUUUGUACGGAGCGAAAAGGCUCUCUCUAAUACAGGGAGCUCAUGACGGUACCGUAAGAAUAAGCACCGGCUAACUACGUGCCAGCAGCCGCGGUAAUACGUAGGGUGCAAGCGUUAAUCGGAAUUACUAGGCGUAAAGCGUGCGCAGGCGGUUAUGUAAGACAGAGGUGAAAUCCCCGGGCUCAACCUGGGAACUGCCUUUGUGACUGCAUAGCUAGAGUACGGCAGAGGGGGAUGGAAUUCCGCGUGUAGCAGUGA
RNAcentral lists this ribosomal RNA (586 nucleotides) under uncultured bacterium. RNAcentral's name for it is "bacterial SSU rRNA". It matches the Rfam family "Bacterial small subunit ribosomal RNA", at positions 102 to 684 of the family's 1533-position model. The record is from RNAcentral.